This 434-nucleotide long non-coding RNA is filed under the name Felis catus (domestic cat). RNAcentral describes it as "lncRNA (ENSFCAG00000046516.2)". Lineage: Eukaryota; Metazoa; Chordata; Mammalia; Carnivora; Felidae. The record is from RNAcentral.
CCCAAAAGCAGUGCUUAGACAAGUCUCUAUUUUUACCUAGAGCCCUCUCUCCCUUGAAAAUAUGUACUCAUUUUGCUUGUAAUAAAAACUGAAUUUCAGAUUGUUGAAGUGAUUUGCCCAAGAUUACCUCCUGAGAAGAUAGUAGAGACAGGAAAUAAAUCCCGCAUGAAACUCAUUCCAUCAAACACCAGUGCUUCUGUUCCAUGUUUGUGUGCGGUUCUAUUUCACCAGAGUAGACAUUCUCCUCUCCCGUGGCACGCCGGGAAGAUGAAGCUGGAUAGCUCCAUGGGGGUAUUAAGUACAGGUUCUAACACCAUUUCAUCCUGCUUGCCUUUGCCUGAAACAAACUCUCAGCUCAUCUCUGCUCUUGCACCUGGAGGCAACAAGGAUACUCAGGUGGAGGAAACACAUUUCCACACAGCUUACAAACUGUC